CGUAGGCGGUUAGGUAAGUCAGAUGUGAAAUUCCAGGGCUCAACCUUGGAACUGCAUUUGAUACUGCUUGACUAGAGUACUGGAGGGGAGACUGGAAUUCACGGUGUAGCAGUGAAAUGCGUAGAUAUCGUGAGGAAGGCCAGCGGCGAAGGCGAGUCUCUGGACAGUUACUGACGCUGAGGCACGAAGGCUAGGGGAGCAAACG
This 205-nucleotide ribosomal RNA is filed under the name uncultured bacterium. Its description in RNAcentral is "partial 16S ribosomal RNA". It matches the Rfam family "Bacterial small subunit ribosomal RNA", at positions 570 to 774 of the family's 1533-position model. The record is from RNAcentral.